Molecule: non-coding RNA, 422 nt
Organism: Callithrix jacchus (white-tufted-ear marmoset)
Lineage: Eukaryota; Metazoa; Chordata; Mammalia; Primates; Cebidae
Source: RefSeq, a predicted model, not a curated record
CAACAUCUAACAGUUGUUGAGUGCUUUUACCAUUGCCAGGCAAUGUUCUAAGGGCCUACAGGCUUUAUCUCUGGGGUGGACAACUCGUUAUUAUCCUUGUUUGACAUAAGGAAGUUGAGAGUUGGGUGAAAUGACUUGCCUGGGGCAUCCAGCCAGUCACUGGAAGAGCUGAGACUUGACUGCCAAAAGCCCAUGUCCUUAACCUCUUAGGACCUCUCUAGGUGACCCAGCAAGGCCUGUGGGAGGGACUAAGGAGGAGCCUCCCAAAAGAAGAUCCUAGGCAAAUGGCUGGAAAGCAAGUCCUUAAAAAGAAGCUUCUCCCCUGCUAGGAUUUCUGCUGAGAAGAAGCCAAGGAGAAACAUGAAAACUCAAAUGUGCCCUGAACCAGUCUCAACCUUGAAGUUAAGGAAUGCAAAAGGUGA